Molecule: small RNA, 127 nt
Filed under: Marmota monax (woodchuck)
Lineage: Eukaryota; Metazoa; Chordata; Mammalia; Rodentia; Sciuridae
Source: RNAcentral
GCUGGGCAUGGUGGCAUAUGCCUAUAAUCCCAGUGGCUUGGGAGGCUGAGGCAGGAGCCUGGUUGCGAGUUCAAAGCCAGCCUCAGCAACGGUGAGGUGCUAAGCAACUCAGUGAGACCUGUCUCUA